AAUAAAGAAUCCUUUUACCUACCUGGAAGUGUUGGUGGUGGUGUUAGUGGUGGUGAUUUAGUUGCUAAAUUGUGUCCAACUCUUUGUAGCCCACAGGGCUCUUCUGUCCAGGAGAGUCUCCAGGCAAGAAUAGUAGAGUGGGUUGCUAUUUCCUCCUCCAGGGGAUCAUCCCAACUCAGGGAUCGAACCCACAUCUCCUGCAUUACAGGCGGAUUCUUUACUGCUGAGCCACCAGGGAAGCCUGGAAGGAUUGUUAAGGGGCUUUGUAUAAGAACAUGCGUAUUUUUUCCUUUCCUUAAAAAUCGAGUUGGGUUGGGAGAGAUCUGGGGGUUGUGUGUGUGUGUGUGUGGGGGGGUCCUCCAGCUUCAGGCUCAGCAGGGGGCUUCGAUCCCUUUGGGAUGCAGACCUUGGGUCCCCAGGCAUCAGGGAGCUUGCUUGUCAUCUGGAGCUAAGGUGUCUGUCCUGUCUAGCUUAGGGCAUUUUUUUCUAGGUGGGCUGCAGAGGCAGGUGGGGGGGGGGGGGCGGGUGGGUGGGAAGGCCUUCAGAAGAAGGCUGAGUGAAACAACUACAGUCAGGACCCGGGUGGUACCAGGGAGCCUCAGCACCAAGUGGGUGGGGUGGAAUGGGAUUUCCUGGGGAGCAUUUGGUUUAGAGAGCGUGGGCGUUUGUGCCUGUGUCCAGGGCAACUGCAUGUCUUGGUCUCAGGAUGUGGGAAAACCCCCCUGGAGACCAGGACAGUCGAUCGGUCCUCCUGAGGCCCUUCUGCCGACCCCUGGCCUUCCAGGGCCCCCGAGCCAAGGAAGCCUGGCUCUGGGGCUGCAGCUGACCUGGGCGUGGCAGCUGGAGGUCAGAGCCCUGGGGUCACAGCAGAGGAGGGGGCUCUCGGGCCUCCGGCCACAUGAGGGCCAUGGGAGGACCCCAGCACCUCCCUGGUCCCGCGUCUGUCAGGAGGACAGGUGGUGGCUUCACAGGGUCGAUUACACACACUCCUGUCUGAACGCGCCCGGGGAGGUCCCCGGGGGCAGGCACUCAGUCACUGGCUUGUUGAGCUGA
This 1053-nucleotide long non-coding RNA is filed under the name Bos indicus x Bos taurus (hybrid cattle). Its description in RNAcentral is "lncRNA (ENSBIXG00000014564.1)". The record is from RNAcentral. Lineage: Eukaryota; Metazoa; Chordata; Mammalia; Artiodactyla; Bovidae.